Beta vulgaris subsp. vulgaris (sugar beet) is the source of this 107-nucleotide non-coding RNA. The record is from Rfam. NCBI's taxonomy places the organism in Eukaryota, Viridiplantae, Streptophyta, Magnoliopsida, Caryophyllales, Amaranthaceae.
AUACCAUGGUGUGUGCAUUGUCUUUGCAAAUCCUUGUAUCUCUACCAUACCUCAUAGAGAGACUCCAAUUCAUGUUGUUGAAAACCACACAUCUCAUUUCUGAAUUU